This is a long non-coding RNA of Ctenopharyngodon idella (grass carp), 2479 nucleotides long. RefSeq lists it as uncharacterized. Lineage: Eukaryota; Metazoa; Chordata; Actinopteri; Cypriniformes; Xenocyprididae. The record is from RefSeq and is a predicted model, not a curated record. The transcript has 2 exons.
UUGAUGUCAUAGAAGUCACACUGCAGGAUUGUGUGACACUGCUACAAUUUUGUCUGAGGUAAAAUCUGAUCGCAAUGUCCUGUCAGUGAACAUGUCAAACUAACAAUCAAAGACUACAUAUUUUAGCCUAGGAUCAGAGGAAUCUUUUAGUAUUUCUAAAAUUUGUCCGAGGUGGCCAAAUUGUGAACCUGGUUUAAGAUCUUCAGGAGCACUUGAUAAUUAAAUACAGUUGUGUUAGAUAAGGGUUGGGUCUGAACUCUGCAGGUAGGUAGAUCUCCAGGAUUGGGCACACCUGCACUAGAUCCUUUGUAUUUAACCAAUCUUCUAUCACGCUAUACAUCACGCUCUUAGGUCACAAAUCUUUUGAUAGUACAUAGAAUAGAACUAAAGAAGGUAGAGCGUUUUCACAUUUGCUUCCUCGACUCUAGAAUAGCCUUCCUGAUAAUGUGAAUCUAGAUUACACACAUCAUAUAAAUUAGCAUUCACUCACUGCAUCUAUACAAACAAUGGUAUCUGAUGAAGUAGUACGAAAUAUACCUGAUCGUCUUCUGCCUGAAAUGCAAUGAACUGCAGCUAUGUUAAUUCUUUUUCAUUUGUUUUCCUGAUUUUAACAACAGCAACUACAGAUUGUGCUAGUUCCAGUCUUUCCGAAGAUUUCAGGUAACACUGACAAUUGCAAAGAUUUCAGAUGACUCCAAAUUUGGAUUGUAAUUCAAAACUGUCACAUACAUUUCUUAUAUUUUAGUCAUUAUGAGCAGAAACUGCUUACAUUAAGAACAAUUUCAUUGAGUCAGCUUAACUGAAUACAUGAUAUUAACUAACCACAUAACAUGUAUUAUAUUAUAGCUAAAUAUUAAUUCCUGCUAUAUGGAUAUUAUUUUGACAAAAAAAAAAAGGGUUAAAAAGAUAUGCUCAACCAUCUAAAGAGGAGGUACUAUCAAAAAACAUAUGUUCAUCUUAAUUGAAGAAAAGGUACAACACUCAAGGAAAAAAAAAAAAAAAAAAAAAAACUUUAUUCACUUCCAGGCCAGUAGUUGGUGUCACUUUGUCAAAGAAACACGUAAUACACAUGUGAACAUGUAAUACGCAUUACCAUGAUGUCACCAUUUUCACAAAUUCACAUUUUUGUUGUUUAUGUGGUGACUGUAAAGGCAUUGUUUUCAAAAACUUGCACUUAAAAUCCCAUUUUCAAAAGCUUGUUUUCAUGCCCCAAAAUGUCGUUGUCGUGUAAAUGAAUGGACAAAAUGCAAAAUGUAUAAAAUGUUUCCAUUUUCAGUUUAAAACAGUGUCAUGUAAACAGCCUCUCAGUUUAAAACAAGCAACGUUUUAGCCACUGUCAAGGCCUUCAUUAGACAUCAAAAACAACUUCAUCACACACUGCUUUAAACAUUCUUACAAUCAGCAGCAGGUGUACUCUACUAACUGUGGGAGUGGCUUUUUUUACAAGAUCAAAAGGGAAAAAGAGAAAUUUCAAUAAAACAUACCAUAGCCUAUUACCUAAAUAGGCUCUUUGGGAAACAACAAAUCUAAAGUAAAAAUCCCAAGUUUCCCUGGACCUAUGAUUCACAUCAAUAUCUCCUCCCAGGCCUAAUAAAUGAACUUGUUCAAUGUGAAAAUAAAAGGACUCACAGAUAGAAUGUGAAUGCUAUUUGAAAUAUUGUGCUACAGGGUUACUAACAUCCUCAUGUCUUUUGACACUACAAUGUUCGCAUAUACAAGUUCUCAGUUCUCUUGAUGUUUUUCAAACAUACAACAAUCCCCACAUGAGAAAUAUAUUGCAUACAUGACAUUGCAUAAAUUACAGGUGAUGAAACUUUUUAUAAAUACAUCUAUUUUUGCCUGUUCUAGGGGUGAAAAAUAUUUCUGCAUCCCAGACUUUCAGUAAUGGUCUGUACUUAACGACUGUCCAAACUUGGUGACAUGGACAUCCAAAAUAUCUAAAGGGCGAGUGUUGCAACUUUUCUUCAAUUGACAUUAUUUUGACACUCAUCUACGGCUGAUAACAACAAUCCUUCCUAAUUAUAAUAUAAUAAUAAUAAUUUUAGAGGAAGUUAUGAUUUAAAUCUAUAGAUGAAUACUAAUAAAACACUAACAGUAGUUAUGCCACUACAUGCACUCUAUAAAACAUAUAUUUAGUGUGACAUCAUAACAAUCUUUUGGAGACAAGGGUAAAUGAGUAGAUAUUACAAUGAGAAAAGCUUUUCAAAUUGUGAAUGCAAAUGUACAAAUAAAUACCUCUUGUAACAGCCUCAUAAAGCCUCUGCAUAACUGGAACUGAGGGAUGGCUCUGAAUGUACGCACUUUUAACUAAAACUUUUGUAGAGCGGUGCUGGCCUUUCUGUGUUGUGAUAAAAAGCAUCGGUGAGACACCUAGUAAUUCCAACUUAUGGAGCUGAGAAGAGAGAACAAAAUGUUUUUAAACAAGAGUAUACAUUAAAGUUAAAAACUCACUUUAGUGCUAACAGGCUUUUUGUUUCAA